UUACGGGAGGCAGCAGUGGGGAAUCUUGCGCAAUGGGCGAAAGCCUGACGCAGCAACGCCGCGUGCGGGAUGAAGGCCCUCGGGUUGUAAACCGCUUUCAGUGGGGACGAACCAAGACGGUACCCACAGAAGAAGCCCCGGCCAACUACGUGCCAGCAGCCGCGGUAACACGUAGGGGGCGAGCGUUGUCCGGAUUCAUUGGGCGUAAAGAGCUCGUAGGCGGUUCGAUAAGUCGGGUGUGAAACCUCCAGGCUCAACCUGGAGACGCCACCCGAUACUGUCGUGACUAGAGUCCAGUAGGGGAGCGUGGAAUUCCUGGUGUAGCGGUGAAAUGCGCAGAUAUCAGGAGGAACACCAGCGGCGAAGGCGGCGCUCUGGGCUGGAACUGACGCUGAGGAGCGAAAGCGUGGGGAGCGAACAGGAUUAGAUACCCGUGUAGUC
This 441-nucleotide ribosomal RNA is filed under the name uncultured bacterium. RNAcentral's name for it is "bacterial SSU rRNA". It matches the Rfam family "Bacterial small subunit ribosomal RNA", at positions 339 to 795 of the family's 1533-position model. The record is from RNAcentral.